UGGGGAAUAUUGCACAAUGGGCGCAAGCCUGAUGCAGCAACGCCGCGUGAACGAUGAAGGUCUUCGGAUCGUAAAGUUCUGUUGCAGGGGAAGAUAAUGACGGUACCCUGUGAGGAAGCCCCGGCUAACUACGUGCCAGCAGCCGCGGUAAUACGUAGGGGGCUAGCGUUAUCCGGAUUUACUGGGCGUAAAGGGUGCGUAGGUGGUCUUUCAAGUCGGUGGUUAAAGGCUACGGCUCAACCGUAGUUAGCCUCCGAAACUGGAAGACUUGAGUGCAGGAGAGGAAAGUGGAAUUCCCAGUGUAGCGGUGAAAUGCUUAGAUAUUGGGAGGAACACCAGUAGCGAAGGCGGCUUUCUGGACUGCAACUGACACUAAGGCACGAAAGCGUGGGUAGCAAACAGG
This 403-nucleotide ribosomal RNA is filed under the name Verrucomicrobiota bacterium. RNAcentral describes it as "Verrucomicrobia bacterium partial 16S ribosomal RNA". It matches the Rfam family "Bacterial small subunit ribosomal RNA", at positions 355 to 776 of the family's 1533-position model. The record is from RNAcentral. Lineage: Bacteria; Pseudomonadati; Verrucomicrobiota.